Molecule: RNA transcript, 3604 nt
Organism: Helianthus annuus (common sunflower)
Lineage: Eukaryota; Viridiplantae; Streptophyta; Magnoliopsida; Asterales; Asteraceae
Gene name: serrate RNA effector molecule
Exons: 19
Source: RefSeq, a predicted model, not a curated record
UUCACACUUACAGAACCCUAAAUCUCUCAUUCUUUUCCUUCACGCUUCCUGAUUUCCCUUUCUUCUUCAUCUUCAAGGCUAUGAAGUUCAAUCGAUUCAACGUGUUAUUAACCCGUUUUGUUAUAUUUGAUUUUUGGUGGAAGACGGUAGAGGUUCUCGGAUGUCACAGUUGCCCAUCCGGUGGCGGUGCUUUGAUAGAGGAAGAUGGUGACGGUGGUUGUGGCCUGAAGAGGAACUAUGACGGCGACAUGGGUCCAUUUAGGGUUUUCUCCAACAGUGGUCUUGUGAUGGUUGUGGUUCAAGGCACAGGGCGGCGGCUAGGGUUCCACCACCACAUAAAUCUGACACUUCUCUCUCAUUGUUAUUGUUUGCUCUUAUUUCAAAUCUUUAUGAUUUAUACACGCUAAUCGUCUUCAAGUUGUUCACAAUUCCGUAUGCAAGUUUUCCAAUCCAGGUAUGUUUUAAUUAAAAAUUUGCUUUAUCUGCUUGAGUUUUUGAAUAAAGCAGUUUCGAAUGAACAAUUAUAUGAUGCAUAUUGCAUACUCAACAUUGCUUAUCAGUUAUCACUUACAGAUAAUUAAAUAAGCAGUUAGAAUUAGCAAACCUAAACACACCCUUCAUUUACCUCUAUACAGAAUCUUCCAUUUCUCUUUUAUCAUUUAAGGAGUUGUUAAUUUGAACAUGUUCACCGACAAGUUAAUAUCAGAAUGUUUUAUUUAUUUAUUUUUUUUGUUAAGUUUUUAUUUUGUGUGAAGUCUUAUAAGCAUCUAUCUGCUUUUGUAAAUUGGGAAUCGGCUCGCGGAGGUUACAAUGAUCAGGUCAAUACCCUCAGAGAAGGGUUGAUGUCUUAUAAGCAAUUUAUUCAGGAGCUUGAAGAUGGUGUUCUGCCAUCAGAAGCUGAACGAAGGUAUCAAGAAUACAAGUCACAAUAUAUAUCAACUCAGAAUUGGAUGGCACUAUUGGUAAUUGCUCGCAAGAUUCUUAUUAUUUUUAUUCUUCAACCUUUUCUUUACUAGGAGAAAUGAGGCGGCUCGAAAGCUGGCUAAGGAGUUUUUGCAUGACUUGCAAAAUGGGUCAUUAGACUUGAGACAAAAGCUAUCAAGAGCAGAGAAAUUCUUUAGAUGACCAACAGAUGUUUCUCAUCAAAGCGAAUAUUCAAAACCCUAAAUCGUUAACAAUCGAAGUGGAUUCAGGUUCAAAUUUUACACACAAUACAGGGACUGAGUCAAGUGAACCGUGAGUAAGAGUAUCGAGUUGCCUAUUUUCAGGUGUUCCAUGUUUGUGAAAGUAGGAGCACAUUCAGCAUACUUAUGACUGAGCUAAGUACUGUUUCUUCAUGUUCUUGAAACAAAGACAAAAACCUCCAAAAGGGUUUUGAUGGGAAAAAAGGAGGUCGGGUACAUUCGAUGUAGAGGUCAAAACGCCGACCAUCCAACACGUUUUGUCUAUUAUUUUAGUUUUGUAAAUCUUAAAUGUAUUUAGUUUGAUUAUUAAUAAAAAUUUUCAUUGAAUACACCAGUUUAAGACGUAGGCGUUUGGAUACCCGUUUGGGGAUUUUUAACCCAUUUAACCUGUUUGCUCAUUUGACCUGUUUUGAUGGGGAUUUUAUUAAUUUUUUACUAAAAUUGGUGGUGGUCAACCAAGGGCAAUGAGGGUUUGUUUUGAUAAAGAAUGUAGGCAAAGUUCCUUAACAUAAUCUUUGGUUACUAUUAUAGGUGAUGGUUGUAACGACACAUGAAGGGGUGCUAGAAGAAUUUCAUGGAGCAAAAUUGGUUGGCUCACGAAGCUUUUCGUUCCCAUGGUACCAACAAGUGCCACUUUCUCUUGCCCUAAGCCCUAGGAUCAUCAACGAAGUUAAACAAUUCAAACCGGACAUCAUCCAUGCAUCGUCUCCUGGUAUCAUGGUUUUUGGAGCGCUUACGAUUGCAAAAAUGCUGUCGGUCCACAUCGUGAUGUCCUAUCAUACACAUGUGCCUGUAUACAUACCAAGAUACACGUAUAGCUGAUUGGUCCAGCCAAUGUGGUUAGUUAUAAAGUUUCUUCACCAAGCUGCUGAUCUUACAUUGGUACCAUCAGCUGCUAUUGCAAAGGAUCUUCAACAAUACAAAGUUGCAGCAUCUAACACAAUUCGUCUGUGGAAUAAGGAUGUGGAUUCGGAUAGCUUUCAUCCGAAGUUUCACUCUCAUGAAAUGCGAAUUAGACUAUCAAAUGGUGAACCUGAUCGACCAUUGAUCGUACAUGUUGGGCGUAUUGGAGUCAAGAAAAAUUUGGAUUUACUUAAAAGCGUCGGACAACAAUUACUAACACGGCACGUAAAUAAAUAGGUAUUGUGUCGGCUAACCCGUUUUAUUAAACAGCUGAACUAUAUGGGUUAAUCUGAACAUGACCCGUUAAUAAGGUUUGGGACACAUGGCAUGUUGUGGUGCAACCAUUUUAGGUUUGGGACACAUGGCAUGUUGUGGUGCACUUACCGGAAUGGAUCUUGUGAUUAUACCUGCUGGUGUUCCAAGAAAGCCCGGAAUGACACGUGAUGAUCUUUUCAAGAUUAAUGCGGGAAUUGUUAAAACUUUAUGUGAAGGAAUUGGAAUGUGUUGCCCUAAUGCAAUCGUCAACUUAAUUAGCAAUCCUGUGAAUUCUACGGUUCCAAUCGCUGCAGAAGUUUUCAAGAAAGCUGGUACUUAUGAUCCCAAACGCUUGGUUGGUGUCACUAUGCUUGAUGUUGUUAGAGCCAACACUUUUGUGGCUGAAGUUUUGGGACUUGAUCCAUGAGAAGUUAGUGUCCCGGUGGUUGGAGGAAGUUUGUGAUGUGAGUGAAGUGGCUGGGAGAAAUCUGAUGUCCACAACCUCAACUACCACAAACUUGAUGGGCUUACAGAUUUUUGUAUCAUGGUUGACGCCGAUGCACUUCUAGAAAAAGAUUUAGUAACUUUAGAUGAGGCAUUGCAGAUUGCAAAUAAUGUUGUGUUGAUGUCAUUAAACGCAGUCUCCAUUUUGACUUCUAUAAGUGGAGUCCAACAGAAAAUUUCUGGAUAUACCGCAUGGGAGUAUGAAAGAACUUGGAGUCAAAGACCUAAAAAAGGUUUUGUAGUGAGAUGGAGGAAGAUGUGGAUCACCUGCUCGUGUCAUGCUACAUCGUCUUAGGGGUUAGAUAGAAGGUAAGUCUUUGGUGCAGCAUCCCUUAUUUUUCAGGUACAAAGGUGAGGGAGCUGUUCAAAUUUUAUUAAGCAGAAGGCAUAUUGGAAAAUAAAAGAAAGUUGGUGCAAUGAUUCUUAUUGUGUCAUCUUGUGAGAUUUGAAAAGCACGAAACGAAUUGAUGUUCUCAGGCAAGCGGGUAUCAGUUGAUCGGAUAUUCGCGUAAACUCAGGCGAUGUCGUUCAUGUGACUGAAACAUCGGGCGAACCGACCAGGGUUAGAGUGGGCGAAGUGGCUAAAGUUUGAUGUUUUGGGUUGAUCUGUAAUUGGAGUAUGGGGUGAGUUAUGUACUGGGUAUGGGUUUAAUGGGUACUAGCGACUUACUGGUACAUGCCUUUGUAACGUAUAUAAAUUUGGUGUGGAAUAAAAUCAUUGUUUGCCAUCCAAAAUAAAAGUAGUUUCUUUUCUUUAA